AUCUCUAAAAGUUAGAGAGAUAUCUCUUUUACAAGUUUAAAAGAGAUAUCUCUCUUAAUUAGAGAGAUAUCUCUUUAGAUUUUCAAAAAGAGAUAUCUUUCUAAGCUAAAGAGAUAUCUCUUUUAAUGAAAGAGAUAUCUCUUUUCCAAUCACCCUUAAAAUAAAAUAAUUAAUUCUCCCGUUAAAAACGAAAGCGAAACAGGAAGUAAUGUCUGUUAAGUCGUUCGUUUUCUGAUUAUUGAAAAGAAGAGGAUAAAAUGGACUGAUUGAUACAGGGAUCCAGGAGGUACUGAAAAAGGGACAAUGCUUUGACUGGAUGUGUCAUCCAUGUACCAGUAUAGAUCUGUUAAUGAGGCAUAUCCAAUAAUUCUUAUACUCAUGAAGAGUGUGGCAACUUCCACGUAGUUAAUGAUGGCACUCAUUUUAAAUCAGAUGCUCACUUCUAGGAUGUUUUCCAUGUUCUUGUGAAAAGUGUUUUACAUGGCACCAUUCAGCUACAAAUACUUUACCGAUGGAACUGUGACAUCAAUCAACUGCUCAUGCCACUGCGGACUGGCAGAAUUUCCUUUGGGACAAGCAAACUGUUUCAAAUAUUUUACACCAGCAAGUAGUGAUGAGUGUACUGGAAGUUUUUUCGGGAUCUUGUCCAACAUCAUAGAUACAACUGGUCACUGUGCUUUCUUGGUUAUAUAAGCAGGCAUAUUGCUAAAGCGGUGUCAUAUGUAGCUUCAAAUGAUGCUUGACUGUUAAAGUGUUUUUCUUCAAUUUAUAAGUAAACCACGAUUGAUCUCUGAUGCAGUAAUAUAAAGCCAUGUCCAUUCUUUAAUAUUCCAUCAUCCCACUGUCACAAAGAACUGAAAUAAAAAUGAUUUUGAUUUUAAAAAUAUUUUUAGUUUUUAUAUGUAACAUAAAAUUCUACAGAAAUUCAAAUAUUAAAACUACUUCAAAACAAGAUGUGUUUGUGAAACACUAUGCACCAGGCAGCAACAAAUUCAAACAAGUUUUUUUUUAGCAUAUAGGUCACAGUCAAGGUCACAAGGUCAUUGACCUUGGUGUCUUUUGAAAGAAUUUAAUUAGUGGAGUAUGCAAAUCAAAUAUGAAGUCUUUAAUGGUUCAAAAGGUAUGGCAAAAGUUCAAAAUGGUAUUUAUAGCAUUAAAGUCACAGUAAAGGUCACAAGUUCACUGGCCUUGGUGUCAUUUGAAAAAGUUUAAUUAGUGUAGAAGGCAUUCCAAAUAUGAUAUCUCUAUCUUUAAUGAUUCAAAAGUUAUGGCGAAAGUUUAAAAAAAAAGCUAUUUUUAGCAUAUAGGUCACAGUCAAGGUCACAAGGUCAUUGACCUUGGUGUCUUUUGAAAGAAUUUAAUUAGUGGAGUAGGCAUAUUAUAUAUGAAGUCUGUAUCUCUCAAAAGUUAAGGUGGAGGUUAAAGUUGACAUUGAAAAAGAUUACAAAAUAUCCAAAAGAACUGUUUUACUUGGUAAUAUAGAAAGAAGUUGUUUAGAAAAUUUUCUUUUAUUAGUUGCAAAAAAUUUUACUUACUAUUCAAGAUCACCAGAUAGUAAGCCAUUAUUUAUU
This is a long non-coding RNA of Saccostrea cuccullata (small rock oyster), 1571 nucleotides long. RefSeq lists it as uncharacterized. Lineage: Eukaryota; Metazoa; Mollusca; Bivalvia; Ostreida; Ostreidae. The transcript is spliced from 4 exons. The record is from RefSeq and is a predicted model, not a curated record.